GGAUAACCGCUGAAAGCAUCUAAGCGGGAAACCCUCCCUAAGAUGAGGUCUCCCUGGACCUUCGAGGUCCCUAAAGGUUCGUCGAAGACUACGACGUUGAUAGGCUGGAUGUGGAAGCGCAGUAAUGCGCGAAGCUAACCAGUACUAAUUGACCGUGAGGCUUGACCAUAUAACACCCAAACAGUU
RNAcentral lists this ribosomal RNA (186 nucleotides) under Gammaproteobacteria bacterium. RNAcentral's name for it is "partial 23S ribosomal RNA". It matches the Rfam family "Bacterial large subunit ribosomal RNA", at positions 2762 to 2925 of the family's 2925-position model. Lineage: Bacteria; Pseudomonadati; Pseudomonadota; Gammaproteobacteria. The record is from RNAcentral.